AUAACAAUACAGGAUUCUAUCAAGGCCCUGCAAUUGGAAAGAGUACACUUGAAAUCCUUUAACGAGGAUCUAUUGGAGGGCAAGCCUGGUGCAGAGUGACUGACCCGUGUGUGCUACAGCUGAAA
Molecule: ribosomal RNA, 125 nt
Filed under: Pelobates cultripes (western spadefoot toad)
Lineage: Eukaryota; Metazoa; Chordata; Amphibia; Anura; Pelobatidae
Description: SSU_rRNA_eukarya
Source: RNAcentral